Molecule: long non-coding RNA, 2134 nt
Organism: Heterocephalus glaber (naked mole-rat)
Lineage: Eukaryota; Metazoa; Chordata; Mammalia; Rodentia; Bathyergidae
Source: Ensembl
AUGGAGACAACAACACGGCGGCGCUGUGAGUUCCGCACCGAGUGGCCAGGGAGAAGGUAUUUGUCUUAAAAGACUGAUUUCUCUGGGACAUCGUGGUCAAGGGGCUCCUCCAUCUUCUCAUAGAGCCCUGUGAGACUGUGACUUGGACGUGGUCAAUCAGACCGGAGAUCCCCAAAACAAAGGAGGAACAGCUCUUGCAUUUCUUGGAUUCCAUCUGAGCAUCCACUUUACAACUGAAGGUGCCCAACUCCUACCCAGGCAACCCCAAGCUCCAUCAUGAGGCCUGGAGACAGUGGAGACUGUACUGUGAGCUCUGGUGAAUCAUGCCUGAGUGCCAGCACAACAGCUGUUCCCACCAUCAAUGGCAGCAGCAUGGGCAUGAGUGCUUGUAGCAACAACAUCAGUGCCCAGCACUAGAUCCUGCACAGAUGGAGCAUCAGAUAGACUGGAAUGCUGGCAGCAGUGAGGUGCCACGAGGGGCUUCUGGGAAAUGCAAGCUGGAGGCUGGCCUGGUAGCUAAUGUUUCCUCCUUCAGAAAACUCUUUUGGCCUUGACCUCCAGGGCUUUGGGUCUGACCAAUGUGCAGAUGUUGUUUACUUUUUGCAACUGCUGUGAUUCUGUGUGACAGUGCAGCUGUCCAUGGUCUAAUGAGGGAGAAUGACUUGUAUUUGGAGCAGCCUGUGUCUCUGCUGUGUGUGCGUGGUGCAGGAUGUGUCUGGGUGUCAUGCGCUCCCUUAGAUAUGAUGGUCUUUGCAUUCACUUCCUGUGGACUGAGGGUCUGUGGACUGAGGGUCAGUGGACCGUGUCUCACACUCCACCUGUGCCUACUGGGCCUUUCUCCCUCUGCUCUGAGUGGUCAGGAGAUUGGAAGGUGAAUGGAAGGGAGAAGCCAGGUAUUUCUUUUCCUCUCUCUACUUUGGAUGAUGUCUGUGUCAGCAGCUGCAUCUUCCUUGUGAUUCUGGUUUCUGCCGGACAGGCCUCAGAGCUCCAAUAACCUGAUAGCCUUUCCUCUCCUGGGUGUGGUGGUAGAUUCCUGAUGGUGCCAACCCUGGGUUACUUCGCUGCCCCUGACUGUGCAUUAAAUCUGUAUUUUAAACACCAGGGUGGCCUCUGCUUUUCCAGUUGGGCCCUGACUGAUGCAGCAGCUGGUAUUUAUAAUAAAUUACCCACCCUCAUCCAUGUCACCUUUGCUGCAUGGACAAGGGAGAAAAAAAUAUAUCAUACUGGCCAUCCAAUGCUCUCUGUAAAUAUUGAAAUUGAGAAUGUUAUGUCCAAGAAAGAAGGGAUUUGUCAGUCUUGUUCAACAUUGUAGUCCUAGCACCUAGCACAAUGUCUGGCACAUAAUAGUCAACAAAUAUUUGUUGAAUGGAUGACCGCAUCUUUGUGUGAUGUAACAGUAGACAAGCAAUACUUGGUCGAAGAUGAAAGGGCAAUGAGCUGAGUGUCACAGCAGUGGCCAUGGCAGGAAGAAGUAUUUGGUUUAACCCUCCUCCACCUACUGCCCCAGGGGGUUCCAUCUUUUCCCUCCUUAGACACACAAUGGGAUUUUUAAAUAUGGUAACUGUUUAAAUUGUAAAAAAUUUAUUACAGUAAGAGACACAUUUCCAUUAAUGUCCCUCAAAAUAUUCCUCCUCACUUCAAACAUCUUAAUCCUGUUGUUUUGCCACUUUUUAUUUUUGGUACCGGGGAUUGAACUCGGGUCUUUGCGCUUGCGCAGCAGGCAACGAAACCACUCAGCCAAAUCCCUGGCCCCUGUUUUGCCACUUUUUGAAGCAGUUCUGGAAGUCCUCUUUUGUGAGUGUCUUUAGCUGUACUAUCCUGGCUGCCUUGAGGUCAUGAAUCAAUUCAAAACAUUUACCUUUCAUGGUCAUUGUGACUUUGGGGAAGAACCAGAAGCAAUGUGGUGCCAGAUCAGGUGAAUAAGGUAGACGAGGACACAUGGUAAUAUUUUUAUGAGUCUGCAUUUCCUUUGGAUGUCACUUGACAGCAGCAUUCAUCAUAUUUUUGGUCACAGCUGGUAAAGACACUUGUGAAAGAGGACUUCCAGAACUGCUUCAGAAAAAUCACAAGAUAUUUUUCUUUUUAAAACUUUAUUUCCAAAAGAAAAAGUGACAAGAACAGUGCAGUAAGUGUG